CCGAUGUACGAGACGGACGGCAGUGAUGGAGACCGUAGACGAGGUGGAGAAGGUGGAGGGUAGAGGCGGUGGAGGCGGUACACGCGAUGGAGGGCGGAGACGGAGGACGCGAUGGAAGGUGGAGACGGUAGCACGCGGUGGAGACGGCGACAGAGGUAGAAGAAGACUGCGUUGAGAAUACGGCGGCGGAGGUAGAAGAAGACUGCGUUGAGGAUACAGCGGCGGAGGUAGAAGAAGACUGCUAAAGAAGACGGGUGGAGAUGAUGCGGUUUGGCAGAGGUUCCGAGAUCUGGUGGAGGAGAAGACCGCCAUGGCCGGGAGAGGGAAGAAGGGGAGCGGCGGAGGCGGUGGAAAUGGCGGCGGCGCUCAUCGUUGAGAAUGGAAAAAGGUGGAAGAGGGGAGAAGGAAAAGCGGCCGGGAGAGUUUUUAGAGUUUUAAUUAGGGGUGUAUAUCCCCUUUAAUUAAGUAGUUAUAAUUUCAAUUAGAGCCCUAAUUAUUUCCAAUUUUGGACUAGGCCUAUUGGAGUGGGACGUCCCAAAAAGGAAAACGAGCCUAUUGGGCUGG
RNAcentral lists this long non-coding RNA (564 nucleotides) under Salvia miltiorrhiza (redroot sage). Its description in RNAcentral is "long non-coding RNA (SMIL_LNC004229)". Lineage: Eukaryota; Viridiplantae; Streptophyta; Magnoliopsida; Lamiales; Lamiaceae. The record is from RNAcentral.